AGUGAACGCUGGCGGUAGGCCUAACACAUGCAAGUCGAACGGCAGCACAGUAAGAGCUUGCUCUUACGGGUGGCGAGUGGCGGACGGGUGAGGAGUACAUCGGAAUCUACUUUUUCGUGGGGGAUAACGUAGGGAAACUUACGCUAAUACCGCAUACGACCUACGGGUGAAAGCAGGGGAUCUUCGGACCUUGCGCGAUUGAAUGAGCCGAUGUCGGAUUAGCUAGUUGGCGGGGUAAAGGCCCACCAAGGCGACGAUCCGUAGCUGGUCUGAGAGGAUGAUCAGCCACACUGGAACUGAGACACGGUCCAGACUCCUACGGGAGGCAGCAGUGGGGAAUAUUGGACAAUGGGCGCAAGCCUGAUCCAGCCAUACCGCGUAGGUGAAGAAGGCCUUCGGGUUGUAAAGCCCUUUUGUUGGGAAAGAAAAGCAGCAGGUUAAUACCCCGCUGUUCUGACGGUACCCAAAGAAUAAGCACCGGCUAACUUCGUG
This 492-nucleotide ribosomal RNA is filed under the name uncultured bacterium. Its description in RNAcentral is "partial 16S ribosomal RNA". It matches the Rfam family "Bacterial small subunit ribosomal RNA", at positions 29 to 507 of the family's 1533-position model. The record is from RNAcentral.